RNAcentral lists this ribosomal RNA (245 nucleotides) under uncultured Gemella sp. Its description in RNAcentral is "partial 16S ribosomal RNA". It matches the Rfam family "Bacterial small subunit ribosomal RNA", at positions 118 to 354 of the family's 1533-position model. Lineage: Bacteria; Bacillati; Bacillota; Bacilli; Caryophanales; Gemellaceae. The record is from RNAcentral.
UAAAGAACCUACCUUAUAGACAGGGACAACUAUUGGAAACGAUAGCUAAUACCUGAUAAGAAAGAAACUCGCAUGAGAGAAGUUCGAAAGUCGGAGCAAUCUGACACUAUAAGAUGGCUUUGCGGUGCAUUAGCUAGUUGGUAGGGUAAAAGCCUACCAAGGCGACGAUGCAUAGCCGACCUGAGAGGGUGAUCGGCCACAUUGGGACUGAGACACGGCCCAGACUCCUACGGGAGGCAGCAGGC